Molecule: long non-coding RNA, 4869 nt
Organism: Ostrea edulis (European flat oyster)
Lineage: Eukaryota; Metazoa; Mollusca; Bivalvia; Ostreida; Ostreidae
Exons: 2
Source: RefSeq, a predicted model, not a curated record
AGAAUUUUUUUGCAUGUUAUCAAUGGGUUUUUUAUUACAUAGACUGAUUAAAUGGUGUUUCAUACCGAUCGUGUUAUGUACAAGCGACAGAGUACCCGAGUUACUGAAAAUUUCGAUGAUAAAAGUGAUAAAUCUGCGUGAACUGUUUGGUUUUUCUUUUCUUUUUGAAAUAUAAUCUUUGCAGUUAAUGUACUCUGUAUACUAAGAAUUCAUAUUGAUUUUGGAUAGAAUUUCACAAAAAGAAAUGCGCCAGGUCCUUAGGAAUCAACCCCCCUACCCCACCCCCCACACGGCACAUUUUUUGGAUGAUUGGAACGUAUACCCCUUUACAUCUGUCUCCCUACUUUGAAGUUUUUUCCAACGCCAUGACAUAAAUAAUAAAUAGAUAAAUAAAUAAAAAUGCAAAAAUAAAAAAGAAAGAUGUAUAUGUAUUCGGAUUGGCAUGUUCCACUUUGUCCGGGUUGAAAUCCCCUAGGAUGCAAAUGUACAUUACGCCGCACUGCUUGCAGUACGCACAUGGUACAGGCGUACCGCAUAGGUAUGUAACUACUAAGACUAUAAACCAAACAGAAUAUGAUAUGCAAAACUAUUACUCUGAAUGCAUUUUAUUUGUUUACAAUGUAGCCUGUCGGGCUGUGGUGUCACACGCGUGGUUUACACGUGCACUUUAGGUGCCAGUGGAGGAAAUUCGAACGAUGUAUGGAUUAUUGUCUCCUGGUAACUUUGGCAGUUACCCUUUGCUUUCAAUCUACUUUUUAAGAAUAAUUCAACCCUCGCUAAUCAUUUCCAAGCUGCAUUUCGAUCUUGGAAGAAUGAUCUUCAGCUACAAUACAAAAUUAAGGGAUGAUGUUGUGUACUGAGUUUUUCUUGAUUGUUUACAUCUGUGAUUGUUUAUGUGAUGUAUAAACUGAUCAAGCUGUACAGUGUCAUGACAUAUAGUGGCAUAGCUUCCAUUUAUAUGCUUGCGCAUCAUUUUGUCAGAAGAAGAAAUUUCUAAAAUUAAGAUUUUUAACAUGUAUAUGAUUAUAUGUGUUUGUUUGAUUUUAGUAUAAUACCUGUAGAGAAUAUUUCAGUAAUAUGAAGUGCGACACAUUUAGACGCAUGCAUGUGGUGUUUGAAGGUCUCAUCUGAAAGACCAGCAACUUUCUCUUUUGAAUGCUAAAUAUGACGAUGGAGCAUUCACCUCACUACCUACAUUUACACCCUAAAUAAAGUACAUUAGCAUGGCUCGAAACCAUGAUUUCUUCAUCAUGAAGCAAAUGCUCUGUUACCACUGAGCUACCAAUUUUUUAACAUGAAUUCAUAGCUAAAAAUUUUAAAAAUUUAUAACUAAUUUUUUGGUUAAUUCCAUAAAUAUUAUUCCUCUCUUUAGACACAAUUCUGGGUAACCCCCUGCCUUUGGGCUUUCAGAAUGGGACAAUGUCAGGAGAGCUUUUGUUAUUUGUUAUACUCUUAGUGUUGAUGGCAUCUAUGAACAACAGGAUAAUGUUUUUAGAUUAUUAUUUCUGAUAUCAUAUUUGUAAAUUGUUUAUGAGGGGUUGUUAAAGUUUGUGGACAAAAGGACACACUUAUUAAAAAUUCAAAGUUAUGAUAAGUAAAAAAUAUAGGAGAUGUGUAACAAGAUUGUAGAUUUGAACAUUUUAAUUUUAAUUAAUUUUUAUAAGUAUUGAUUUCAGAUACAUGUAUGACAUUGCAUGCUUGAUCGGGGAGGGGGGCUACAGUUAGAUAAUAUUCUGGUCAGCACAUUCGAUAAACUACAGUUGUACAUGGAACUCAUUAAAUCACUUCUUUUUCUUUCAGUGGUCUUCAACUUUUAAUCUCUAAGAAGGAAAUGUAAUUAAAAGAUGAAUAAAGUAUCCAUAAGAAUACCAGAAGAAAGGCUGUGUUGAGAAAAACAGCCCUUCCUCAGUACCUCAGAACUAGAUGAUAGCCCUUGUUACUUUAUGCUGAAUAUGACACAGUAUAGAAGAUCUGAUCAUGAAGAAGUUACACCAUUGAUACACUUGCCAACUGCCAAAACUACUUUCUGAUAGUAUGACGAGAUUAGAAGAUAUCAUGGUGUAGUCAUGACACAAACUGCAAAUCAAAGAUUGUCUUCCCCAGAGGAUGAACAGAGUGCUUCACAUGGAUAACAUUUCCUUUUCGAGUUUUGAAAUUAAUUUGUCAGAAUGUUAUGCAUCAUGAUCAACAGAAAAGAACUUCACAGGUAGACCAAAGCUGACAUGGGAUGAGAUCCUAAAACGAGACCUAGAGUUUAAAGGAUUGGAUAGGAUCAAUCCACUGGGUCGCCAAGUGUGAAAGUACAAACUUCAACCUCGACAGGACAGCCAGGCCUCACCCUUGCAAAAAUAUUAAUUUGGCCUGGAUAGUCAAAAUGAGUGAUGAUGAUGAUAUCAAGGUCUGACACUAUAAGCUCAGUAAGGGUAGAUCCUGGCAAUGGAGCUGUUAAGCAAUACAACAAACAGGUUUAACAUUGAACAUGUUUAUAUACUUUUUUAGCUCACCUGAGCCAAAGGCUCAAAUGAGCUUUUCUGAUCACCUUUGCCUGUCGUCUGUCGGUCUGUAAACUUUUCACAUUUUCAUUUUCUUCUCCAGAGUGAACCACUGGGCCAGUUUCAAUCAAACUUGGUAUGCAUCAUCAAUAGAUAAAGGGUAUGCAAAAAUAGGGUGGGGUCAUUUAAAAAACCUUUUCAAGAACCACUGGACCAGGAAAGUUGAAUUCACAUAAAAGGUUCCUGUUUUGUGCAAAUCAUGGUCUCCGGGGGUAGGGUGAGGUCACAAUCGAGGAUCAAAGUUUUACAUUCAUAUAUAGUACAGAUUCAAGUUUGUUAAAGGUCAUGACUCACAGGGAUAGAGUGGGGUCACAAUAGGGGAUCUAAGUUUUAUAUGUGAAAUAUAUACAAGGAAAAUCUUUUAAAAUUUUCUCCUAAAAAACUAGAUGCAGAACUAAACCCAAAAUCGUAGCUCUUUGAGAAGAUAUUGGGGCAAGUCAGAGCGCUAGAGCUUCAGAUGAACCCCUUAUUAAAAAUCUUCAAUUUACGGCACAGAAAAAAAGUGCAUGGUUAAGUCCCUCUAUCACUGUAUUCCUGCAUUGCUGUCUCAUGAAUUUAAUAUUAAAUAAUUCCUAACAUAUUUUCCCACUAUACUUGUUUCCAAGCAUACUUUCAAAUAUUCCUUAAACCCACAUAUAACCUAAAAACUCACAGCUUCAAGUGAUUUUCUUUGUUGAUGUAGCCAUGUUAGGUAUACGUAGCCAGUCAAUUUGAACCCCAGUUCAUUUCCAUACUCAUACUCAUUUUGAAACAUAAUGUCUGUGUGAACUAAUAUCCCCACAAAUAUUUUUAGUGAAAUAUUUUGGAUGAAAUCAUCCCACUUGGGUUAAAUACUUAUUAUUCAAAAACUGUAGGUUUGAAUAUUGAACUAAUUUCACAGCUUUCUUAAGUUGGUCCCCAUCCCCUCCAGUCUGUUUUUACGCUUAACUAUUGAUUCAGAAAUGGAGUGUAAGGGAUCAGACUAGGCUUUAAUAGCAUUAUCAAUUUUCAAAAGCUUUAGAAAAAUUAUACAAUUUUAGGUCACUUGAGUAAACUCAGAUGACAUAUUGCUAUUGGUCUGCGUCCGUUGUAGUCCGUCGAUGUUAACAAUUGAAUAUUUUUAACUAAAUUCUAUAACUGAAAGGUGAAGAUAACGAACAGCGAUCAAUCUACGAUUCGAAUAACAGAAUUAUUUUCAAAUUUAGUAUGAAGCACACAAAUUUACAUUAAACCUUCCUGACAUAGUGCAUAUUCAAGUUUGUUAAAAUCAUUUCCCGGGAGGUAUGGUGUGGUAACAAUAGGGGAUCAAAGUUUUAUAUGCUGAUAUAUUUAAAGGAAAAAUCUUUAAAUAUCUUGUAUAUACAAUUUUUAUGGCAAAACAAAUCUGACCUAUUCAGUGUGUCCUGAACUACAUUGUGUUUAAGGUAAAACUUAUACGGUACCAAUUUUGAUGCACCAGAUGCGCAUUUCGACAAAUAAUGUCUCUUCAGUGGUUGGCGUGGGUUCGAAUCCUGCUUGCACCGGUAAGUGAGAAAGUUUCCCAGUUUACUCUCGGAAGGUCAGUGGUCUCUUCCCAGGUACAUUGUAUCUGGGUUCUCUCUUCCACCAAUAAAAACUGGGCACCACCAGAUAACUGAAAAAUUGUUGAGUGUGGCGGAAAACAGCUAAAACAAUCAAUCAUAUUAUGUUAUUUGACCUUGUGACCCUGAACUCUGAGUUUGACCUACUUUUAAGAAAGUAUAACUUAUUAAGUAUAUCCAGGACUAUUUUAGAUAGGGCUUUCAUGUAUUGUAUAUAGAUUACUUAUGGCAAGGUCUUUCAUAUCAUACCAAGACCUAUGACUUCAUACCUUGGUCUUAUCCAGAACAGCAAUAUCAUGCUUGUCAUAUCUUUGUGUUAUAUGAUUUCAUUUCAGUAAUGUUGUGUUCUUUAGAGGUAGGUUUGGGUCACAUUAUUCAUGAGAAUAAAGAUUGAUAGAAUAGCAUUUAAAAAUCAAAACAGCAGGGCCAAGGUGACUGAGGUGAGCGAUGUGGCCCCUGGGCCUCUUGUUGAUUUUGAUAUUUGUACAGAUAUCAUUUGUAUGAGAAAUGGAACUCUUUUUUUCUUUUACAAAUACAUGUAUUAUCAUAUGGAUCCAUCUGUGUUGAUUAUUUAAUCAAAGGACUACAUUCAAUGUAUUAAAUGCAAAUUUAUUGAUAUGUCUGUGGUUGAAUUACUCAUGUAUGUACAUGUAUACAUUUUUUUGGCACAUGCAAUUACAUAUAUAAUGUAUAUAUACAUACUAAUUGUACAUAUAACAUCUCCUGUAAUAUAAUAAAAUAUAUGACUGAGAAUAAAA